This 92-nucleotide transfer RNA is filed under the name Desulfosarcina sp. BuS5. RNAcentral's name for it is "tRNA-Sec". Lineage: Bacteria; Pseudomonadati; Thermodesulfobacteriota; Desulfobacteria; Desulfobacterales; Desulfosarcinaceae. The record is from RNAcentral.
UGGAGGGGGCAAGGGGAAUCGAACCUCCUCCCGGUUUUGCAGACCGGGCCAGUGGUUUUGAAGACCAUGGGGCGCCCAGCGCCAUUGCCCCC